UUGGAGGGCAAGUCUGGUGCCAGCAGCCGCGGUAAUUCCAGCUCCAAUAGCGUAUAUUAAAGUUGUUGCAGUUAAAAAGCUCGUAGUUGAAUUUCGGGAUCGAUACGUCGGUCGUGCCUUAGGUACGUACUGUCGUCAUCGAUUUCUCCCUUCUGACGAACCAUGAUGUCAUUUAUUUGGUGUUAUGGGAAAUCAGGACUGUUACUUUGAAAAAAUUAGAGUGUUUAAAGCAGGCAUUAGCUUGGAUACAUUAGCAUGGAAUAAUGAAAUAGGACGUUCGAACCUAUUUUGUUGGUUUUUAGGAUCAACGUAAUGAUUAAUAGGGAUAGUUGGGGGCAUUAGUAUUCAAUUGUCAGAGGUGAAAUUCUUGGAUUUAUUGAAGACUAACUACUGCGAAAGCAUUUGCCAAGGAUGUUUUCAUUAAUCAAGAACGAAAGUUAGGGGAUCGAAGACGAUCAGAUACCGUCGUAGUCUUAACCAUAAACUAUGCCGACUAGGGAUCGGAUGAUGUUAAUUUUUUAAUGACUCAUUCGGCGCCUUACGGGAAACCAAAGUGUUUGGGUUC
This 565-nucleotide ribosomal RNA is filed under the name uncultured Glomeromycotina. RNAcentral's name for it is "SSU rRNA". It matches the Rfam family "Eukaryotic small subunit ribosomal RNA", at positions 548 to 1114 of the family's 1831-position model. Lineage: Eukaryota; Fungi; Glomeromycota. The record is from RNAcentral.